UACAGAGGUGGCAAGCGUUGUUCGGAAUUACUGGGCGUAAAGGGCGCGUAGGCGGUCCGAUAAGUCCCGUGUGAAAUCCCUCGGCUCAACUGAGGAAUGGCACGGGAAACUGACGGGCUUGAGUUCGGGAGAGGGAAGCGGAAUUCCGGGUGUAGCGGUGAAAUGCGUAGAUAUCCGGAGGAACACCGGUGGCGAAGGCGGCUUCCUGGACCGACACUGACGCUGAGGCGCGAAAGCGUGGGGAGCAAACAGG
This 253-nucleotide ribosomal RNA is filed under the name uncultured bacterium. RNAcentral describes it as "partial 16S ribosomal RNA". It matches the Rfam family "Bacterial small subunit ribosomal RNA", at positions 524 to 776 of the family's 1533-position model. The record is from RNAcentral.